UGGGGAAUAUUGGACAAUGGGCGAAAGCCUGAUCCAGCCAUGCCGCGUGUGUGAAGAAGGUCUUCGGAUUGUAAAGCACUUUAAGUUGGGAGGAAGGGCAGUAAGCGAAUACCUUGCUGUUUUGACGUUACCGACAGAAUAAGCACCGGCUAACUCUGUGCCAGCAGCCGCGGUAAUACAGAGGGUGCAAGCGUUAAUCGGAAUUACUGGGCGUAAAGCGCGCGUAGGUGGUUCGUUAAGUUGAAUGUGAAAGCCCCGGGCUCAACCUGGGAACUGCAUCCAAAACUGGCGAGCUAGAGUAGGGCAGAGGGUGGUGGAAUUUCCUGUGUAGCGGUGAAAUGCGUAGAUAUAGGAAGGAACACCAGUGGCGAACGCGACCACCUGGGCUCAUACUGACACUGAGGUGCGAAAGCGUGGGGAGCAAACAGG
Molecule: ribosomal RNA, 429 nt
Filed under: Pseudomonadota bacterium
Lineage: Bacteria; Pseudomonadati; Pseudomonadota
Description: Proteobacteria bacterium partial 16S ribosomal RNA
Rfam family: Bacterial small subunit ribosomal RNA
Source: RNAcentral